RNAcentral lists this ribosomal RNA (697 nucleotides) under uncultured Enterococcus sp. Its description in RNAcentral is "bacterial SSU rRNA". It matches the Rfam family "Bacterial small subunit ribosomal RNA", at positions 801 to 1502 of the family's 1533-position model. The record is from RNAcentral. Lineage: Bacteria; Bacillati; Bacillota; Bacilli; Lactobacillales; Enterococcaceae.
CGUAAACGAUGAGUGCUAAGUGUUGGAGGUUUCCCCUUCAGUGCUGCAGCAAACGCAUUAAGCACUCCGCUGGGGAGUACGACCGCAAGGUUGAAACUCAAAGGAAUUGACGGGGGCCCGCACAAGCGGUGGAGCAUGUGGUUUAAUUCGAAGCAACGCGAAGAACCUUACCAGGUCUUGACAUCCUUUGACCACUCUAGAGAUAGAGCUUUCCCUUCGGGGACAAAGUGACAGGUGGUGCAUGGUUGUCGUCAGCUCGUGUCGUGAGAUGUUGGGUUAAGUCCCGCAACGAGCGCAACCCUUAUUGUUAGUUGCCAUCAUUUAGUUGGGCACUCUAGCGAGACUGCCGGUGACAAACCGGAGGAAGGUGGGGAUGACGUCAAAUCAUCAUGCCCCUUAUGACCUGGGCUACACACGUGCUACAAUGGGAAGUACAACGAGUCGCUAGGCCGCGAGGUCAUGCAAAUCUCUUAAAGCUUCUCUCAGUUCGGAUUGUAGGCUGCAACUCGCCUACAUGAAGCCGGAAUCGCUAGUAAUCGCGGAUCAGCACGCCGCGGUGAAUACGUUCCCGGGCCUUGUACACACCGCCCGUCACACCACGAAAGUUUGUAACACCCGAAGUCGGUGAGGUAACCUUUUGGAGCCAGCCGCCUAAGGUGGGAUAGAUGAUUGGGGUGAAGUCGUAACAAGGUAACCA